UGAGUACGAGAUGCUACGGCAUUGAAGCAGUCUAUGUCAUACUUCCAAGAAAAGCUUGCACUGUCAUAAACAAAGAAUGCCUGUACCAUAACCGACACAGGUGGGUAGGUAGAGUAUACUAAGGGGCGCGAGAUAACUCUCUCUAAGGAACUCGGCAAAAUGACUCCGUAACUUCGGGAGAAGGAGUGCCUUAUUUUUAAGGUUGCAAUAACAAGAUCCAAGCAACUGUUUAUCAAAAACACAGGUCUCCGCUAAGUCGUAAGACGAUGUAUGGGGGCUGACGCCUGCCCAGUGCAGAAGGUUAAAGAAGUUGGUUAGCAUUCGCGAAGCUGAUAACUGAAGCCCUGGUGAACGGCGGCCGUAACAAUAACGGUCCUAAGGUAGCGAAAUUCCUUGUCGGGUAAGUUCCGACCCGCACGAAAGGCGUAAUGAUUUGGAUACUGUCUCGGAGAGGGACUCGGUGAAAUAGACUUGUCUGUGAAGAUGCGGACUACCUGCACCUGGACAGAAAGACCCUAUGAAGCUUUACUGUAACUUGAAAUUGAAAUUGGACUUUAGUUGCGCAGGAUAGGUGGGAGGCGUUGAGAAUAUUCUUGCGGGAGUAUUGGAGCCAUCAGUGAGAUACCACUCUUCUAAUGUUAGAUUUCUAACUUUGUAUCAUUAUCUGGUCAAAGAACAGUUUCAGGCGGGCAGUUUGACUGGGGCGGUCGCCUCCUAAAGGGUAACGGAGGCGCACAAAGGUUUCCUCUGAACGAGUAGAAAUCGUAUCCAGAGUGUAAAGGCAUAAGGAAGCUUGACCGUGAGACCUACAAGUCGAGCAGGGACGAAAGUCGGUCUUAGUGAUCUGACGGUGCUGAGUGGAAAGGCCGUCACUCAACGGAUAAAAGUUACUCUAAGGAUAACAGGCUGAUCUCCCCCAAGAGUUCACAUCGACGGGGAGGUUUGGCACCUCGAUGUCGGCUCAUCGCAUCCUGGGGCGGUAGUACGUCCCAAGGGUUGGGCUGUUCGCCCAUGAAAGCGGUACGCGAGCUGGGUUCAGAACGUCGUGAGACAGUUCGGUCCAUAUCCGGUGUAGGCGUUAGAAUAUUGAGAGGAGCCUUCUCUAGUACGAGAGGACCGAGAAGGACAUACCUCUAGUGUACCAGUUAUCGUGCCAACGGUAAACGCUGGGUAGCUAUGUAUGGAGUGGAUAACCGCUGAAAGCAUCUAAGUGGGAAGCCCACCUCAAGAUAAGUAUUCAC
This 1241-nucleotide ribosomal RNA is filed under the name metagenome. RNAcentral's name for it is "bacterial LSU rRNA". It matches the Rfam family "Bacterial large subunit ribosomal RNA", at positions 1564 to 2815 of the family's 2925-position model. The record is from RNAcentral.